This 253-nucleotide ribosomal RNA is filed under the name uncultured bacterium. Its description in RNAcentral is "partial 16S ribosomal RNA". It matches the Rfam family "Bacterial small subunit ribosomal RNA", at positions 524 to 776 of the family's 1533-position model. The record is from RNAcentral.
GACGUAGGGCGCGAGCGUUGUCCGGAUUUAUUGGGCGUAAAGAGCUCGUAGGCGGCUUGUCGCGUCGACCGCGAAAACUUGGGGCUCAACCCCAAGCCUGCGGUCGAUACGGGCAGGCUCGAGUUCGGUAGGGGAGACUGGAAUUCCUGGUGUAGCGGUGAAAUGCGCAGAUAUCAGGAGGAACACCGGUGGCGAAGGCGGUUCUCUGGGAAUAUCCUGACGCUGAGGAGCGAAAGUGUGGGGAGCGAACAGG